Long non-coding RNA from Solanum pennellii, 543 nucleotides. RefSeq lists it as uncharacterized. The transcript has 2 exons. Lineage: Eukaryota; Viridiplantae; Streptophyta; Magnoliopsida; Solanales; Solanaceae. The record is from RefSeq and is a predicted model, not a curated record.
GAAUGUUUGUUCAGUUGAUAUGAGCUUGGCUCCAAAACUGUACCAUCUCGAGGUGGCUCUUGGACACUUCAAGAAGUGGAGUGUGACUGAAAGCUUGAGUCACGUGCGUAAUUACAUGAAGGUGGCCGGAUUUAUCUAAGUUGAUGACACUCGAAAAGGAAGGCCUCCUUAGUUCGGCAACUAGGAAACGAAGAUGAACCAAAAAGGCUUUGUCGAGCUGGCAGUACAAUUAUGUCACCUUCUGAAGGGGCCAGCCUCUUUCGUGUGGCAAUCCUGAGAUUCAAAAGUGAGAAGAAACUUUAUGUGUGCUAUAUCGUCAUCACUAACCAUAUCCCUCAUCUUUGCAUUUCUUGAGUGGUCGCUCAAGCACCUAUCCAUCUUGUUCGUCCUCAUAUCUCUCUCUAUAAAUGCAAUCUCUAUAUAUAUUUUUUUCGUGGAUCGAUUGACUUAUUUCCAGUAGUGUGAGAUUGAUUAUCUUUUGCAAUGUCUUGAACCUAAAUCAUUAGAUUUGUUAUAUUUGCGAUGAUUAUAUGGUUCCUAAUA